Non-coding RNA from Rattus norvegicus (Norway rat), 511 nucleotides. The record is from RefSeq and is a predicted model, not a curated record. NCBI's taxonomy places the organism in Eukaryota, Metazoa, Chordata, Mammalia, Rodentia, Muridae.
GUCAUUCUUUAUUGACUUUCAAACUUCAUUCUUACUGAUUUUCUUCCAAGAAACUGCCAGUGUCAGUAUUUGUAUUUUGCUUUUUGACCCAUUUUAAGUUACUUGUAUGUUGUAUGAGAGUAGACCGAGGCCAGGAAGAAAUCAGAGCUUGACUCGUGCAAGCAUGCCUGAGAUGCUACAGUGAGCUCGGGGAGCCACUGGCUUGUCGCAGGUCCAUUAUCUAGCUCCUCCGUCCACAUUAAAAUCAGUGUCUUUGUAUAUGAUUUAAUUUUUGUAUGAGAAUUAUCCAUUGGGUAAGAAAUCGAGGGGCUGGAGAGAUGAUUCAGCAGUUUAGAGCACGUGUUGUUCCAGGUUCGAUUCCCAGCACCCACGUGUGGACUAAUAACCAUCUGCAAUUCCAGUUUCAGAAUAUCCACACCCUCUUCUGACUUCCUCAUGCUCCAGACACACACACACACACACACACACACACACACACACACACACUCAGUGCAUACAUGCAGGCAAAACA